RNAcentral lists this long non-coding RNA (21769 nucleotides) under Daucus carota (carrot). Its description in RNAcentral is "long non-coding RNA (DCAR_LNC002088)". Lineage: Eukaryota; Viridiplantae; Streptophyta; Magnoliopsida; Apiales; Apiaceae. The record is from RNAcentral.
AAUUAUUGGUGAUCCUGAUGUUGGUGUCAAGACUAGAAGUGCUACGACAAAUGAAUGCCUAUUCUCUGGGUUUCUAUCUCAACUAGAACCAAAGAAAAUAGAAGAAGCACUUGCUGAUCCUGAUUGGGUUCUUGCCAUGCAAGAAGAACUCAAUCAAUUUGAGAGACAAGAAGUCUGGGCCCUGGUUCCAAGACCAAAAGGAAAAUCUACCAUUGGAGCUAGAUGGGUCUUCCGUAACAAGUUAGAUGGUGAUGGCAUUGUUGUGAGAAACAAAGCCUGACUGGUUACAAAAGGUUAUUCACAAGAAGAAGGAAUUGAUUAUGAUGAAACCUAUGCUCCAGUUGCUCGUCUUGAAGCCAUCAGAAUAUUUCUUGCAUUUGCUGCACACUCCAACUUCAAGGUUUAUCAAAUGGAUGUGAAAAGUGCAUUUCUGAAUGGAAAGCUAGAAGAAGAAGUAUAUCUGGAACAGCCCCCUGGCUUUGAAAAUCCAGAGUUUGCUGAUUUUGUAUACUUCCUAUUCAAAGCUGUCUAUGGACUCAAGCAGUCACCAAGGACAUGGUAUGACACUCUCUCUGAGUUUUUAAUUGAAAACAAUUUUACUAGAGGUGUCAUAGACAAAACUCUCUUUUACAAAUUGCAUGAUAAGGAUAUGAUAUUUGUACAAAUAUAUGUUGAUGAUAUUAUAUUUGGUUCUACUAACGAUAACUUGUGCAAGAGAUUUGGUAAGUUGAUGCAGAGUAACUAUGAGAUGAGUAUGAUGGGUGAGCUGUCCUACUUCCUUGGUCUUCAAGUAAGCCAAAAGGAAGAUGGAUUAUUUAUUUGCCAAUCCAAAUAUGUCAAAGAUCUUCUUCGAAAGUACAAUCUAGAAGACUCUUCACCGGCAAAGACACCCAUGGCCACUGCCACAAAGCUUGACCAGGAUAAAUCUGGUAAGAAAGUUGAUAUCACAAGCUAUCGAGGUAUGAUUGGCUCUUUACUUUAUCUUACUGCAAGUAGACCAGAUAUCAUGUUUGCAACAUGUUUGUGUGCUAGGUUCCAAGCUGAUCCUAAAGAAUCACAUCUUAUAGCCGUCAAAAGAAUCUUUAGAUAUCUUAAGGGUACACCUGGUUUAGGUAUUUGGUACCCUAAGAAUACUGGUUUUGACUUAACCGGCUAUACAGAUUCUGAUUAUGCAGGAUGCAGGAUUGAUAGGAAGAGUACGUCUGGAAGCUGUCAAUUUCUAGGACGUCGGUUGGUUUCCUGGUAUAGCAAGAAGCAGCACUCCGUGUCUACUUCUACUGCUGAAGCUGAGUAUAUAGCUGCUGGAAGCUGCUGUGCUCAGAUCUUGUGGAUCAAGAAUCAACUGAAUGAUUAUGGUGUUGUAGUAAACAAAAUUCCCAUAUUUUGUGAUAAUACAAGUGCCAUAGCCAUUUCCAACAAUCCGGUUCAACAUUCAAGAACCAAGCACAUUGAUAUCAGGUAUCAUUUCAUUCGAGAACAUGUCAUGAAUGGUACAGUGGUGUUACAUUUUGUACCCACGACUGAGCAAAUUGCUGAUAUCUUCACUAAACCACUGGAUGAAUCCACUUUCUCUAAGCUGGUUUGUGAGUUAGGGAUGUUAAAUAUGACAUAGUUCUCUUGUAUAUAUUUUUUCAUAUGCAUUAUAUGUUUUCAUAUAUUUUUUUGUGGAUUUUCUGUGUAAUUAUAUCUUUAUUAUUAGAUUUUAUAUUAAUUUAUGUAUAUUAUCUGAUGAUAUUCAGAGUAAUUAUGCAUGCUUGUACAUUAAUAUGUAAUUUUCUAAGUGCUCUUAUACUCCCCUGUGAUAUUUUCUAGGCAUUUAGAUAAUUAUUUGUAUUUAUUUUGUAUUUUUCAAAAAUUAAUUAAGCAUAAAUAUUUGAGUUUAAGUUAAUUCAUUUUAUUGAAUUAAAGUUAAAGUCAUAAAUAUUUAUAUUUAACUAAAGUUGAAAUUUACAAAAUAUUCGUGUAAUAUAUAUUAUUGUUUUAUUAUAGCUUUUUGAUUUUAAAUGCAAAAUGUUUUAUCUUUUAAAAUAAUCAAAAAUCAUAUUAGUUUUACUUGAAUUCAACAAGACAAUGGAAUUGUCUACAGUUUGGCUCGGUAAGACAAUUUAAUUGUCUUGCUGAACUGGUUUUUUCGCUGUUCUUCAGAAACUCGGCAAGACAAUUACAUUGUCUUCCCGAGUAUGCCUUUAGCCGCUUUAUGUAUCAGUAAGACAAUAUAAUUGUCUUACUGACACAUCCUUUAUCUGCUUCAUUAAAUCUCGGCAAGACAAUUUUAAAUUGUCUUACCGAGACUUCACUCGUUAUUGUCUUGCUGUGCCUGUAUAUAUAUCCCCGUUAGACAAUUGAGCAAGACAAUUCAUAUUGUCUUGCCCAAAGCUUCUUCUUCCUCCCUUGCAUAUACAUACAUAUAUACACGCAUUUGAUCUGGGUUUUCAAGUUUUUACCGAAAACUUGCUGGAUUCUUGUAUUUCAAGCUUAAAACGCUUGCUUGGUUACGUUUCUAACUCCGAUUUCAGUCGAACCUCUCCCCGUUUUUCGAACUGUACCUCUGCGAUUCGUGGUGGUUUCUUGAUUGGAUUGACUAAUCUCGUAGCUUAAUCUCGUGUGGAUGAUCUGAGAUAUCGUUUGUGUUGAAGUAUUUGGUUAAUCAACAGCCGAUUGUCUUUGUUCCUUGAUUAGGGUUCCUUGUUUAAUUUGGGGUUAAUUUGGACUUAAGGGACCGUUUGGAUUGUGUCUACUUGGAGUUAGUUUAAUCUUGUGAUCUUAAGGCGGUGUUUGGAUUCCUUGCUAAGUGUCGAUUUAAGUUGAUUAAAGCCAUUUAAAUUAAUUAACUUUUAAUUCGAUUUUAUUCUAAUAUUUCGAAUUAUUAAUUAAUUAAUCAAGUUUUAAUUAUUAGUUGAAAUUUGCGAGAAAUUUGAGAAUUAACAUUUUAUUUGAAAAAUUCUCGCUUAAUUCAAUUUUUAAUUAUUAAAAAAAAUGGCCGGAGAAUUUGUGAUCGCUGAGACUAACUAUUGUGCCAGCCUUAACCCUGAUGACUGCUCAGAUAGAUUCCGGACUUGGCUCAGAUUUCUUUCGAGACAGUGUUUGGCCAUUACCGCACUGACAGCAGAUAUUCCAGUCCAGCUGCAACCUCUGUUUGACUUCUACUCAAAUGUUGUCAACUCUACGACCCUGGAAAACUACAAGAUAAUAGGGGAUCUACCUAACGGGAAAAGGAUUGUCAUCACUGUCGAUGAUGUGAACAGGAUCCUAGGAUUUCCAAGGGAAAAUUUUGAGCCAGAUCCUACAGAUGAUGAAAUCAGGCAAUUCUUUCAGGAUAUUCACUAUCAAGCUCAGAUCUUUCUCCAUAAGAUGUCUAAGGGAAAUCUGAAGGCUGAAUGGGAUGUGUUCUUCGACACCCUGGCAAAGGUGUUUGCUCCCACUAAUCGAAAGAAUUUUGGCAAUAUAUCUUCGAUGCUGCAAAUCUUUGGAUUCAGCAUAGCUUAUAACAGACGGAUCAACUUUGGAAAGAUAUUGCUGAGGGAGAUUAUAAGAAAGAUGGGGUCUGUUACACAGCGAUCAAUUCAUCAGAAUGAGAAGGUUGAAUGCUUCUAUCCAAGAUUUCUGAUGUUAUUUCUGAAUGAUAAGAUGAAUGAAGCUGAUAGGAACAUGUACGUCGAUUCUCCUGUUGUUCCUAUUCAGAGAACUUGUGCUAAGAUCCAGACCAGACUGGUAAACAAGAAAAAGCAUGACAAUGUGCCACUGGUGGUGACUCCUUUCAUGCUAGAGCAAUUCAGUGCUCCAUUUCAACCUAUUCAAGUUCCUGAACCACUACAACAGCAACAAUAUCAACCUCAACCUCAACAACAGGCUCAUCCAGACAUUCAACAAGAACAACUGCAACAACAAUCACCUCCACAAAACCCUCAACCACUUCAACUCCUUCAAGACUAUCAAUCAUCCAGCCAAUCCUCACAUUACUCUCCCUACAACCCUCCUUACAAUUCACCACAUCAAUCACCUCACCAAUCUUCAUACAACUCUCCUCACCAAUCUCACAACCAAUCCCCUCCACAUUACAACUUCUUCCCAGACCAACAAGCCUCCAUUUUUCCCUCUCAAUCUUAACCUAUACCCUCACCUACACAUACACAUACCAUUCCUCAACCACAAUCUACCUCUCAGCCACUGCCUGCUGAUUCUGCAAUCAAUCCAGACCUACAGGAUUUCAGGACUGAUUUACAGGUAGCUCAGGUACUUUCUAAUCUCACUGACACAUUUAAUAUUGAUAUUGCAGAUUUUGAUUGUGAUAUUGGAUUUGAUUUCCAGACUCCCAGCAUUGAACCUGAAAACACCCAGGUUCAUAUCCAAGCUGACGUUUCCAUUUCAACAACUGAUUCUUCAUCAAACACUUCAAACAACACUACUUCAACCCCUGUUGUUAGAAAGGUAGCCCGGAAACGGAGUGGGAGUGCAAUUUUGAGAGAUCCCGCAGCUCUGUCUCAUAAGAAGCAAAGGGUGGCAGAACCAGAGACAACUGCAGCUGCAUCCAUUUCCUCCCAAAAGGAUUUGGACACUGAAACGGUAAAUAUACAGUCUCUAGAUUCAUUCUCUCCACAGAAUGCAUUUAUUGAAAUUGGCCGUCCGACCGCGGUAUCCUGUAAAGAGUCAAGCACACAACUAGCACUCACGCUAGUAAACACUGAACCUGUGUCUUUUGAUUCUUCACUUAGAGAGAGCACAGAAUUUCAAAACAUGUUAUAUGAAAAUCUUUCUGAUCACUCUUUCUUUUUGGAUCAGGAUCUACUUGGCAACCUGCAAGUACAUCCGCCUUCACAGGCAUCUGAAGGACAAUUUGUUCCUUCACUUCCUACAGUUCCAUCUCAGGGAACUAUGGUUGUAUAUACAGGUUCUGGUGACGGUGUGAAAACUACGAGUGAAAUCAGGCAAAUACCGAGCGAAACACAUGCACGAGAGGAUAGUGAAAAAUCUUUGAGUGUUCGUGAGGUGAGUGCACACACCAACACAGAUCUGUUACAGGAACAAAUGGCUGCUCUGAAAGCUGAGAUUGAAAAAUUGAAUGCUGAGAAUGCCAGAUUCAGAAGUGGAGAGCUGGUGACUCUGCAAGAGAAAGUUGUUGAUCCUUCCUUUACUUCUCUGAAAAAGGAAUUGGAUGAUCAUGUAAAGGGCAUUCACUCUAGGAUGGACAAAUUUGAUAAGACUCAGGAGCUCUGUCUGACAAAGCUUGACAACUUGGAGCAAACUCUGGCUCAAGUUGUUCAACACUUAAAGAUUAAUCCGUCAACAUCUCAGUCUACUCCAGAGGAUCCCUCAACUAAGGGGGAGAAGGAUAAGGAUGAUAAGGAUGACAAAGAUGAUCACAGCAAUGCUGAUGCUGCUGAUAGGAGUAAUAAGGAUGGAGAUACUGAUAGGAGUGAUAAGGGUGGAGAUGGAGCAAGUGAAAAGGAUUCUUCUGCAGCUGGCAAGUCUAAAGGCAAAAUGCCUGAAUCUGAGAACAUCUUCACUAAUCAGGAUUAUGACAACAUUCCUGAAGAUGUUGAUGAUGAUAUUCACUAAUCAGGAUUAUGACAACAUUCCUGAAGAUGUUGAUGAUGAUGAUGCAUUUGAUUCUACUUAUUUUGAAGCUGAGGAAGAAGGUCGUUUCGAGGAAAGCUUUCUCUUUAAUGAAGAUCAGUCUGUGGACCCUGAGCACAUGGGAAAGGUCAGGAUGUUUAAAGCUCAACAUGAAGCUAGCAAAGCAAAGCUUCAGGAAUUACAGAAACUGGUGGAUGAGAAGAGGACAACUGAUGAGUUGGUCACUACACCAUAGAUGCACCUACGCAACAUCAAAAACAUGUGUUGCAUUGAAAAACGUUGUAGUAGGUCAAAAAUUUAUGCUUACAGCAACAUUGUGUUUAUAACGUUGCAGUAUACAUAAAUGGGAUGUUGUGAUAGGUUUAAGAAAUGUUACACAUUUCAACACUUAUGAAGUAUUGCCAUUAACAUUAUUUUUUAGUGAUAAUAAUAAUAAAAUAAAUAAUUAUAUUUUGAAAUGCAUUAAUUUUUAAAAAAGUAUAUUUUAAAUUUUCAAAGGUAACAAAUUGGUUACUAGAGUCAUGCCAUUUUAAAAAAUUAUAAUAUUUUUGAUACUUUGACUUAAACCAAAUUUUUAAUAAAGUAACUAAUUGAAUAAAAAAUUAUUUAAAUGAAUCAAAUUUGAAAAAUAUUCUAAUUUAAUAUUUAAAAGUUAAAAGUUUAUUCCUUCAAAAAACAAGUUAAAAGUUUAUUAUUGGAAAAAAAACUCUAGAAAUUAUGACAAAUUUAUAAAAUUAAUAUGUUUUAUAUUAAUUUAAUAGUUAACGAUUUUUUAAAUACAAAAAGUAAUAUUAUAAAAUAAUAAAGAAUGAGCCAUUUUGUGAAAAAUUUGAAGCGGCAUGUGAAUGUCUAAAGCGGGGAUCUUACCGCCCUGUAUUUGAACGAAAAUUAACCAAGACCCAGGAAACAAAUAUUAACAAAGUGUACAGAGCAAGAGAGAAAAGCAGUAGCAAAGCCCUUAAGAAGAUAAACUCUAUGAGGAUUCUGAAGACGUCCCUUCCACCAUUCUUCGCGAGUUCUCGCUGCUGCAUAUGCUCUCUAGCGAUCCCCAAAUCGUCAAGUAAAUCUUUUUAACCAAUCUAUUGUCAAAUCUAUUUACCAGUGUUUUAAUUCAAUUAGGGUUUUAAUUGGGUUUUGUUGAUUUAAUUUUUGGGGGUUUUGUUGUUGUUUAUGAUUUUAGAGGCUGAUGGAUAUGAAACAACAAGAGACUAAUAAGACGGGGAAUUCGGUUUUGUACUUGGUGUUUGAGUACAUGGACACUGAUCUGAACAAGUUCAUUUGGUCUUUUCGUCAAACAGGAGAGAAACAUUCCUCCGCCCACUGUUAAGGUAUUUUCAAUUUGAUUGGUUUUUAUGAUAUGGGUGUUGUUUGAAAUGUUUUUGUAAUUGGUUUUUUAGGGUUUUGAAUUUGUUUGUUUUUUGAUUGAAAUGUUUUCUGAUGGUUUUUUUGAUUAUUGACGUAGAGCUUGAUGUAUCAACUUUGUAAAGGGGUUGCCUUCUGCCACGGUCAUAGUGUAUUGGACAAGUGUAACUAAUAAUUGUUAUUGCCAUUCCCUUGAUGUUUUAUUCUGUAUUGUUUAAUUUUUGGGAUUAUGUGCUUAUGAUUAUUGAUGUAUGUAAUUUAGAGACUUGAAGCCUCAUAAUCUUUUGAUGGACCCUGUAGAAAGGGCUGGCAGUGGCUUGAAACUUAUUGGGUUUGCCAGAGCAGGAUCUAUUGAGAGUGGUGAAAAGACCAAUGACAUGCAUCUCCUGCCUAAUGAGCACGGUAACCAUCCUUCUCUCUCUUGCAAUGCAAAUAUAUUUUCUGCCUGUGAAGCCUCAAAAGAAGUUACUCAGGUUGUCAAGCAAUUACCCACUGACGAAUGUGGAUACCCUAGGCCAGAGUACAUUGCUGCAAGCACCGGUAUAUAUAUUGAACUCCUCAACUUCAAAUGUUUAGCACAAUGUCAUGCAGAGUGCAACUUUUAUUUUGGACUGAAAUUGACUUCUAAUCUAGCUUCACAUGUUACUGGCCUUUUACAUAUGUAUUAGUAACUAUAUAUUAUAAAAUUAUGUUACUGUCUUAUUUUAUAUACAGGGCUAUGCUUAUUACAUAUACCGGACAUAAAUUUUCAGAACAUAUAAUUUUGUAUGCUUAUACCUCGGAUAUUCAGUAAAAGUUAAUGUCUGUCUUAUUAUAUAUACAGGGCUAUGAUGACAUUCCCAAGGAGAUACAAGCUGGUGCUGAUGUUAAGAAGGUAACAUCUAAUUUUCCCAGUUUCUUUCUCAGCACAGUCUGAGAACUCUAGCAGAUGGAUACAUUUCUUGUUGUUUCUUGUCAGAUGUGUUAUUUAUAUUUGCUUUUUCUUAUCACUGGUAUCACGUGGCCCAAGCUUUAAAUCAUCUAGCCUUAAUCUUGUAGUCUUACCUUGAUAAUUUUCGACCCUGUCUCACAUUUUAUAAUCUAUGCUAAGCUUUCCUUUCUCAUAAAAGUAAUUGUUCCAAGGCCUGGUUUACUAGAAGCUGUUGAUAUCCAGUCUUGUUGCAAAGGAUCCAGCAAUGAAGGUUAAUUGGAACUUAGAUGGACCAGCUGAAGGUGCUGAUGGCCUGCUAUAAGAAGGAUGAUCACAUGCUAUUAAAGGUCGAUGCGAAGUAGGAGUAUCAUUUUGAAACUAGCUAAGGGUUGCUUGCUAAUGUUGGAUGAUAGUUAAACUAUUCUUCUAGAAGCAGGUGUAGUUAAGUUAAGGGUGGAGGGUAAUGCUGUUGUAAAUUGUUUGGCUUGGUACUGACUAGUUUUUAUUUGAAUGGUUGUGUAAACAGAUUUGUAUUUAACAUUAUGGGCAAUCCAAUUUACAAGCAUUUUCUGUCAUUUUUAUUAGAAAAGUGUUAUAGUAGAUAUAAGAAUGGCGUAGUAUCUACGCUUAAAAGUCUUGCAAAAAAUAAUGGGGGGCACAUGUAGGGCCCACCAAUGAGGCCCACAUGUGGGGCCCAUAUUUCAGAGAAUUUCAGACUUUAUUGCAACACUACUGAAUGUUGUUAUAGGUGAAACGAAGUGAUGCCUUGAGUAAAUAUUGCAACCACAAUCAUAGUGUUGCAAAACUGUUGCUACAUGUCACUACGGCAGCGGUGCUGAAGGCAACACCAAAAAAGUGUUGUUGUUUCCCUUUUCAGGGUUACAGCAACAUUUUUUUGGCUUUUUGCAACAUUUUUUUGACGUUGCGUAAGUGCAUCUAUGGUGUAGUGGAUGAAGCUGGAGAAACAGAAGAUAUGGGAUGCAAAGUGCAAGGAGAAGAGAAAGGAUAUCUUCAGAAAAGUUGGUGAAAGCUGGGAUAUUGCUAGGCAAAUCUUCUCUGGACCUCAAAGGGAACCUUUCAAUGAUGGUAAGUACAAAUCUUUCAUCUAUGACCUGAGAGAGGCUAACUCUAAUGAGGAUAUGUUUAUGCGUGCUCUUGCUCUCGAGUUAGAAUACAUAACUAUUGGUGUCAAGAAUCUUCUCAAUGAAUGGGAGAUCAUUAUUUCUACUCAGAGAAACGGAACAUUCAGGGUUUCAAUUGAUCUAUUCAAGUUUCUAUCUCUAACUGAAAUCUGGGUGAUUCGUAACAAGAUCAGACGCAGCUCAAAUCUGAAUGAACUCCUUCGUGACAGACUUAUGGAUUGUGCAAUUCAUAACAGUCCACAAGUUGUCAGAAAUCCCUACUGUGUUAAGUUCAUUCACGAGAGAAAGUUUGGAACCUUCUACCUAGACUACCAACAUCUUCUUAAGUAUGAUGUUAAUCAGAUGGUUCUUGUUUCAACUAUUCUAUGUACCAAGGGCUUCGCUACGAAGGCCAAAGCUGAUGCUGAUACUGAGAUUGUGAACUACUGCACAAGGAGGAACAUUCAACAAUACUUCAGAAAGAUGAAGUAUAUCAACCAAUCUCAGCCAGCAGAUUUCAUCGAAGACCCUGUGGACAUAGAAGUUCAAUAUCAUCUUUCAUUGGCUCGUGAAAGAAAGAAGCGUGGUGAAUCCACUGCAGCUGAAGAGCCUACUCAGAAUGAGCCUUCUACUCCAAUUAUUCACUGUUCAGAUGCUGAAGAAGGAGAAGUCACUCGUUCUGAGUGAAUAGAUUGAUUAGGAUAUUUGUUAGAUAUGUUCAAGGAACAUCCUUUUGUAAUCUAUUUAUGAUCAUGGUUUAAUGUUUAAUGCAAGCCAUAAACUUUUGCUAUUUACAUUCCUUUGUUUAAAUCUUUGUCUUAUCUGUUAGUUGAGUUAUCCUCUAGGAAAUUUGCAUGUUAUGUUAACAAACAAAUAGGGGGAGAUUGAAAGGCAUAUGUUCAGCCUAUUUGUAUUUAAAGAGGUACAACUCAACUCAGAUAAGAAAGCUCAGUAAAUAGCAAGUCAUCGGAAUCCGUACGAAGAACGUCAAAUGAUUUAUGGGAAUUAUAUGUCAGAUAAAUUCCAGGAUGCUGCUGCACACCACUGAAAGAAGUUCAUUAAUAUGUUCAAGCCUCAGUGCACAAAUAAUCUUUUGUGGCACGUCCAGGAGUUCAGAAGAUAUAAAGUUUCUAUACUUUAUUUUAUCAGAAGAUUCCAUUUAAUGAAGAAGUACUUACAAGACGAAGACUCGACGAACAAAUCAAAUUCUUAAUGUUUAUUUGACAAAGAAUAUUUGAUUUAACUAGAUACAGAUGAACCAGACAGUACAUCUGUGUAUCAGUUAUUCAAAUUAAAUAUGUGAAGUCAAGCAGAAGUGGUAGUUCGUUCGUUCGACAGAUCAAGACGAAGUUAUUAAAGUUUAAAGAAGACAGGAAGCGGUCUACUGAAGAUUGGGUGUUUGAAUAUUUAAUGGACUAUUAUUUCACUUCUUAAAUAAUUAUAUUAAUUAUGUUAUUUAUUUAUUAAAUUAAUUCACUCUCGAAUUAAUUUAAUUUAUGAAUAUAUAUAAUUAACUUAAUUAAGUGGAUAAUUUUCUAUUUAAUAUAAAUUACAAAUUACAUUAUGUAACACCUAAACCAUCUCAGCAAGACAAUCAGAUAUUGUCUUACCGAAUGGAGUCCAUCUGCCAAGACAAAUAAAUGUCUUUCAUUUGUUAAAAGCCACCCGAAAGACAAUCUCAAUUGUCUAACCAAGUGGCAGUGCAACUCAAGCAAGACAAACGGUUUUGUCUUACCGAAUGCAUGUGUAAAGCAGCAAGACAAUCUCAAAGAGAUUGUCCUAUCGAAGAUUCAAUAAAGCAGCAAGACAAUCCCUUAGAGAUUGUCCUACCGAAGAUUGAAUAAAGCAGCAAGACAAUCUCAAAGAAAUUGUCCUACCGAUUCUGUGUGUGGACAAGACAAUGUGUAUUGUCUUACUGCCUUGUGUAAAGACCUUGUAAGACAAUCGAAUUGUCUUCCCUUACCUUGCAUUUGUCUUGCCCCUUCACAGAAUUGUCUUGCUCCUCUAAAAUUGUCUUUCUGCCAUGCUUUUAGCUUGCUAGGCAAAUGUAAUUGUCUUUCCUUGCUUAUGUAUUGUCUUGCCCUUGCUAGAUUGUCUUUUCUACUUGUAUUUGUCUUGUCUUUGCAUUGUCUUACAAGUACAAUGCUUUGCCUAUAUAUAUGGCUUAGUAUUCUUCAUUUCAAGUGUUCAUCACUUUGAUAUUCAAAACAUUUGUAAAGCUUUCAAGUUGUUUGUAACUUGCUUGAUCGUUAUAUCCAAAGUUUUCUGUGCUUUGAUAACCCGGUUGUUUUAAUCACUAAAUCUAGAAUAUACCCUAUCGAAUUAUUCUACGAACUUUAGUGGACAUUAAAACUGAACCAUAUUAAUUAUAUAACGACUUCAAACAUUGUUAUAUUAAUUAAUUAUAAUCUGAUUAACAAAUUAUAUUCAAUCAGAUUCACUUCCGCGAUUAUUUUGUAUCGAUUGUAUUCAACCCCCCCCCCCUUCUACAAUCGUAUCUGGACCUAACAAAUAAUAAUAAUAAUACAAUCCUAAAAAUAUAAAAAGAAUAAAAUAAAUAUUAUACAAAGAAAGGUUAGAAACACUCCCCUAGUGCAUAAGCAUGACGUGUCGCUUGAAAAAAGAGAGUGAAGUGUGGCUCAAUUUAAGUUAUUAUCUAGCUUCGUGAAAGCGCCAAAUAUGAAAUUGUAAAAAUCUAACUCAAUGUGAAAGUUGCUCAAGCGGUUGCGUGGACGCCCAACUUAUUUUUGUAAGUUGGUCGUUCUAAGCUUUUGAAAAAUUCUCUCGCUUCCUUUUUUCCACAUCUUGAGCUUCGAUUAUUAUUUUAUUCGCAAGAAUAUACUUAACAAAAUCCACUUUUCCAUCUAUAAAAUUUCUUUCUUUUCUUAAACACUUCAAACAAAAAUUAUCAGGGCAUCUUAUGGGAGUAAAAAUAUAUAUAUAAUGCAUAAACAAAUCUUGGCUAGAAAAUAUAUAAAAAAUAAAAUAAAAAUUUCCUAACUUUACAAAAUCAUGGGUUGCCUCCCAAGAAGCGCUUUUUUAAGGUCUAUAGCUCGACCUCCUCAAAAGUUAUUAUGACAAAUGGGCAGAAAGUUGAAUCUCCACCUUCUCAUUAAUUGGCUCAUUGGCUUUGUUAUGCUUCACUCUUUGACCGUUCACCUUAAAAGUUCCACAACUUGUAUUUCAUAAUUCAAUGGGUCUAUUGCGAAGGGAAUUUAAUGAAGAUGAUUUGGUUCUUUUAUUUAAUUCUAAAUGAAGCGAUGUCAUCUUUUUGCCUUCUUGUAGAGCUUAGAAAUUUCAUAAGCCUCAAAACGAAGCUCAUCGAGCUCAUUAAGUUGAAGAAGUCUUUUCCCAACAGCUGCGAAUAAUUCACAAGUUAAGCUUUUAACAGCCCAAAAUGCACGAUGUUCCAACUCAACUUGAAGAUGACAGACUUUCCCAAAAACAAGUCUGUAUGGAGUUGUUCCAAUAGGAGUUUUAAAUGUAAUCCUAUACACCUGAAGUGUAUCAUUAGGCUUCAUAGACCAAUCCUUCCUUGACUUUUCAACUAUCUUCUCCAAGAUAGUCUUAAUUUCACGAUUAGAGAUCUAAACUUGACCACUAGUUUGAGGAUGACAAGAAAGUCUUACCUUAUAAUGUACUCCAUAUUUCUUCAGGUUUUAAAGCGAUUUUUAAGAAAAUGCUUUCCUCCAUCACGAAUUAGAAUCUUUGGUAUUCCACUCUAGGGAAAAUUAUCUUCAUGAAAAAUUUGCUCACAACACGUUCGUCAAUAGUGGGAUUUGCAAUGGCUUCAACUACUUGGAAACAUAGUCAACAACGUAAGAUGUAUUUGAUCCCAAAAGAUGAAGGCAAUGGUCGCAUAAAGUCAACUCCCCAAACAUUGAUAGGUUCUACUUCUAGUAUAUUACUGAGAGGCAUCUCAUUUAUCCUUGAGAUAUUUCCAGUUGUUUGACCAUAAUCAUAAGAAUGAACAUAGAGAUGCACAUCUUGAAUGAAAGAGGGUGGGCCUGUAAAAACCGCAUUGAAGAAUCUUUGUAGCAGUUUUAGUAGUGCUUGCAUGGCCGCCACAUGGUGAAUCAUGACAAUAUAAGAUUAUAGAGUUAAUCUCACUUUCUAGAACACAUUAUCUAAUGACAUCAUCUGCACUAGAUUUAUAGUGAAAAAGAUCUUCCCAAGAGUAUUUCCUCGCAUCAUAGAAAAAUAUUCUUCUUCCGUUGAGAUGAAUACCCAUGAGAAGUAGUACCACUAGCCAAAUAAUUAUCUAUAUCAGCAAACCAAGGAACAUCUAUCCUUGCAAGGCGUAAUAUAUCAUCAUCAGGAAAUGAAUCAUCAAUUGGAAGGUCAUUAGUACAAUCACCAUCAAGAACAAGACGCAAAAGACGAUUAGCAACCACGUUCUCAACCCCUUUCUUGUCUUUAAUUUCCAUGCAAAAUUCUUGAAGAAGGAGAAUCCAACAAAUCAAGCGAGGCUUUGCAUAUUUCUUGUUCAUCAAGUAUUUUAGUGUUGCAUAUUCAGUGUAAACAAUAACAUUCAAGCUAACAAGAUACGGUUGAAAUUUUCCCAUAGCAUAAACCACUGCUAACAGUUCCUUUGACGUUGUUGCAUAAUUAAUCUGAGCUCCAUCCAAGGUCUUACUUGUUUAAUAAAUGUCAUGAAGCUUUUCAUCCUUCCUAUGUCCCAAGAUUACACCAAUAGUGAAAGGCAUAUGUUCAGCCUAUUUGUAUUUAAAGAGGUACAACUCAACUCAGAUAAGAAAGCUCAAUAAAUAGCAAGUCAUCGGAAUCCGUACGAAGAAUGUCAAAUGAUUUAUGGGAAUUAUACAUCAGAAGAAUUUCAGGAUGUUGCUGCACACCACUGAAAGAAGUUCAUUAAUAUGUUCAAGCCUCAGUGCACAAAUAAUCUUUUGUGGCACGUCCAGGAGUUCAGAAGAUAUAAAGUUUCUAUACUUUAUUUUAUCAGAAGAUUCCAUUCAAUGAAGAAUUACUUACAAGACGAAGACUCGACGAACAAACCAAAUUCUUAUUGUUUAUUUGACGAAGAAUAUUUGAUUUAACUAGAUACAGAUGAACCAGACAGUACAUCUGUGUAUCAGUUAUUCAAAUUAAAUAUUUGAAGUCAAGCAGAAGUGGUAGUUCGUUCGUUCGACAAAUCAAGAAGAAGUUAUUAAAAGUUUAAAGAAGGCAGGAAGCAGCUCUACUGAAGAUUGGGUGAUUAAAUAUUUAAUAGAUUAUUAUUUCACUUCACAAAUAAUUAUAUUAAUUAUGUAAUUUAUUUAUUAAAUUAAUUCACUCUCGAAUUAAUUUAAUUUAUGAAUUUAUAUGAUUAACUUAAUUAAGUGGAUAAUUUUCUAUUUAAUAUAUACUUCAAAUUACAUCCUUAAUCAUCAAAACAAACUCUGUAAGACAAUCCAAGAUUGUCUUACCAAAUGUGUUUCAAGUAUAAAAGAAGACCAGCAAGACAAUUUCCUUGAAAUUGUCCUACCGAAUGAAAUAUGAUGCAGCAAGAGUUUGUCAAUACCGCUUGUCAUACUACUUCAAGCCUUAGCCUCCAAGUUUAGAUUGUCAUACCGUUUGUCAUACGGAUGUCAUACCUAUUCGGACAAUGUCCAUAAAAUUGUCCUACCGAAAUUUGGAUGAAUCAGCAAGACAAUUUCCAUGAAAUUGUCCUAGCGAAAUUUGGAUAAAUCAGCAAGACAAUUCCAAAUUGUCCUACCGAUUCUUUGAGUGGCCAAGACAAAUUGUCUUCCUGCCAUGAAUUGUCUUGCCCCUUCACAGAAUUGUCUUGCCCUUCUAAAUUUGUCUUACUGCCAUGCUUUUAGCUUCUUAGGCAAUUGUAAUUGUCUUCCCUUGCUUUUAGUUUGUCUUGCCUAAGCUAUAUUGUCUUUUCAACUUGUAUUUGUCUUGUCUUUCCUUUGUCUUACAAGUACAAAGCUUUGCCUAUAUAUAUGGCUUAGUUUUUUCAUUUCUAAGUGUUCAUCACUUUGUAAAUCAAAGCAUUUGUAAAGCUUUCAAGUCGUUCGUAACUUGCUUGAUCGUUAUAUUGUAAGUCUAAAUGUAAAGACAACCCUAUUUGUUACAUAGGGAUGAUAACUCAACAAUAGAACUGGACAAGUAAAUAACACUACGUCUGCAUCGGAAUCGGAAGAUACGAAGACAAAGGUUGAAGAAGCCAUCUACAGUCUUGAAGAAAUAAGUUCACUGGAAGAAGUUCAUUAAUAUGUUCUUGCCUCAGUGAAGAAUAAAGAUUGAAGUAUUCAAGAUUGUGGAAGUAAUGAAGAUGUUGUCCAAGUACUCGAAAGAUUUCAGUGCAACCCCUGAAGCAAGAUAUUUCUAUAUCUUGGUUGGUUAAUUUACAAUCAACAAACUGAAGCAUAAACUAACCCGGAAUCGACUGAUUAAUGUUUGCUGACAAAGACGGUACAAUGUGUGACUUCAGUGUUAGUCGCUUGUGAACCAGACCAGUGCACUAAGCGUCAGCACGUACGGAGUUUGCAAAGUAUUUAUCAAUCGAAGAAUUGAUCAAGUCAUUUGUUCCAAAGCCAAGCCAAAUGCCUAGUCUCUGCAAGCUAUGCCAAGUCUCUACUCAAAUUCCAUAUGUCAAAGCUUCCACACAGAUCCAUAUGGGGAAGUGACAUUUCUAUAUAUGUGUGCACUUAUAUAUUUGUAUAUGUACAAAUAUAUUUAUAUAUAUGUAUAUAUGUAUAUUUAAUUAAAUAUAAUAUAUAUAAUAUAUAUGUAUAUAUGUUUUUAAACAUAUGUAUAUGUAUAUUUAUAUGUAUGUAUAUUUAAAUAAAUAUAUAUGUAUAUAGUAUAUGUAUAUAUAUAUUUUACAUAAACAUUUAUAUAAUUAAGUGUAUAUAUAUUGUAUUAUGUGCAAAAAUAUAAUAUAUAUUUAGAGAAAGUUAUAUAUAUCUUUAUAUAUAUAUAUAUAUAUAUAUAUUUAUAUUUAUAUUUACACAUAGUUAUAUUUAUAUUAUAUAUAUUUAAAUAUAUGAGAAUAUAUUUAAAUAUAUGUGUAUAUAUAUAUUACUAUAUGUCUAUAUAAAUAUUAUAUAUAUAUGUAUAUAUUUAUAUAUAUUUUUCUCUAUAUUUAUGUUUAUAUUUAUAUUUAUAAAUAACUAUAUAUAUCUCUAUAUAUAUUUAUAUAUAUAUAUAUAUAUAUUUGUAUUUGUAUUUACAUAUAAUUAUAUAUUAUAUAUAUUUAAAUAUAUGAGAAUAUAUUUAAAUAUAUGUAUAUAUAUUAUUAUAUGUUCAUAUAAAUAAUAUAUAUAUGUGUGUGUGUAUAUUUAUAUUUAUUUUUAUUUAUUAAUAUAAACACAACAUAAUAUAUUAUAUUAUAUAUGCAUGCAUGUUGAGAUGAUGUCAUGUGUCUAGGGCAUCCUAGGGUUUGCAUGGGAUCAAACACUGGACACAGUAAACUCUUCAUUGGCGCAAGUUCAAUAUAUAUAUAUAUAUAUNNNNNNNNNNNNNNNNNNNNNNNNNNNNNNNNNNNNNNNNNNNNNNNNNNNNNNNNNNNNNNNNNNNNNNNNNNNNNNNNNNNNNNNNNNNNNNNNNNNNNNNNNNNNNNNNNNNNNNNNNNNNNNNNNNNNNNNNNNNNNNNNNNNNNNNNNNNNNNNNNNNNNNNNNNNNNNNNNNNNNNNNNNNNNNNNNNNNNNNNNNNNNNNNNNNNNNNNNNNNNNNNNNNNNNNNNNNNNNNNNNNNNNNNNNNNNNNNNNNNNNNNNNNNNNNNNNNNNNNNNNNNNNNNNNNNNNNNNNNNNNNNNNNNNNNNNNNNNNNNNNNNNNNNNNNNNNNNNNNNNNNNNNNNNNNNNNNNNNNNNNNNNNNNNNNNNNNNNNNNNNNNNNNNNNNNNNNNNNNNNNNNNNNNNNNNNNNNNNNNNNNNNNNNNNNNNNNNNNNNNNNNNNNNNNNNNNNNNNNNNNNNNNNNNNNNNNNNNNNNNNNNNNNNNNNNNNNNNNNNNNNNNNNNNNNNNNNNNNNNNNNNNNNNNNNNNNNNNNNNNNNNNNNNNNNNNNNNNNNNNNNNNNNNNNNNNNNNNNNNNNNNNNNNNNNNNNNNNNNNNNNNNNNNNNNNNNNNNNNNNNNNNNNNNNNNNNNNNNNNNNNNNNNNNNNNNNNNNNNNNNNNNNNNNNNNNNNNNNNNNNNNNNNNNNNNNNNNNNNNNNNNNNNNNNNNNNNNNNNNNNNNNNNNNNNNNNNNNNNNNNNNNNNNNNNNNNNNNNNNNNNNNNNNNNNNNNNNNNNNNNNNNNNNNNNNNNNNNNNNNNNNNNNNNNNNNNNNNNNNNNNNNNNNNNNNNNNNNNNNNNNNNNNNNNNNNNNNNNNNNNNNNNNNNNNNNNNNNNNNNNNNNNNNNNNNNNNNNNNGAAUUAAUUCCAAAGAUUAAUUUUGAUUAAAAAUAUUUUUCUUUCAAAAAUUCAAAUCUCAUCCAAACACUAUUCACUUUAAAUCCUAAUAUUUUUAAUUCGAAUUAUUUUUUUUUAAAAUUAAUUUUGAUUUAAAAUAUUUUUCUUUCAGUAAUCCAAAUCUCAUCCAGACACUAUUCACUUUAAACCUUUAAAAAUGAGUACACAAAAGAUUAGUAGCAUUAAAAUCCCACCGUUCAGCAAAGAACACUUUGGCCUAUGGAAGAGGCACAUGUUACUAUUCCUCCGCACUGCGAACAGAAAAUACAUCGGGAUUCUGAACAAAGGUGUUUCUACUCCGAUGAAUGUCAUAUUAGCACACGAAGAGGAUGGUGUGUUAAUACCUCAUCAGACAUUUCCAAAAGAACUUUCUGAGUAUAAAGAAGAAGAGAAUGAACAGAUGAACUUAGAUGAUACUCUUCAACUGAUCUUAGUUUAAUCAUUAGAUCCUGUCAUGUACAAUGCUGUUGUUAAUUGUACGAACGCGAAGCAAAUCUGGGAUACGUUAGAGAUUAUCAACGAAGGCUCAGAAGAAGUAAGAGAGAACAAGAAAGAGAUACUGAUGGCUCGGUAUGAACAGUUUGGUUCCAGUCCCGGAGAAGGGAUUUCAGAGGUGUUUAUCAGACUUAAUAAUUUGAUAAAUAAUUUAAAUCUGAAUGGGAAAUACUAUGACAAGAAAGAGGUCAACAUGAAGUUUCUCUUAACCCUUCCUGAACAUCUGGAACACAGAAUCACUGCUAUCAGGGAAAGUAGAGAUCUGAAUGAGAUUACUCUAGAGAAACUCUAUGGAGUUUUGAAAACUUAUGAACUGGAGCAAGUUCAAAGUAAGCAGAGAUAUGGCUGGGGUAAAACACUGAACCAUUCAAGAGCUCUAGUUGUUGAAUCACCUACACCGGAAGAAAAGAAGGAUGUUGUUGUUCCUUCUAAGACCACUCAGGAAUUUGUUGUACCUGAGAUGGGUCAGACUGCUUCUUCCAGUGGUGAUGAAGAGUUCUAUACAAUGGAAGAGCUAGAACAGUUAGAAGAUCAAUCUCUAUCACUGUUUGCCAAGAAAUUUGGAAACAUGAGAUUCAAGAAGAACCCCUCCUACAAGUACAAACCUACAGUUAACAGGUUUCAAAAAGGAGGUUACUCAUCUUCUACAAGCAAAGGAGGAUACAAGACUGGGAUGGUGGAUAGAAGCAAGUUCAAAUGCUUUAACUGUGGUGAACCGGGACACUUUGCAACUGAGUGCAAACAGCCCAAGGUUCAAGGAAAGAGAAAGGAUUCGUACGACGAGCUGAAGCAGAAGUAUGAUGCACUAGUGAGAAAGCAUCAGGGUACUUCUGGAAGUCAAAGUUUCAAAAGCAAGUCUUAUCUGGCAGAAGGGAAAAGCUGGGAUGAUACAGACAGUGAUGAAGAAGAGCAGAUAGGGAAUGUUGCUCUCAUGGCUAAUGCUGGAUCAUCUUCACCUCCUCCUGCUGGAAGCUUUCAGGUAGAUCCUACAUGCCCUAAACUUUUUAUGCAAUUAGGACUCGAAAGAGAUGAUGCUAUUAAAAAGUUGAAAGCUGCCAAUCUUAAAAUUGAUACACUAGUCUUAGAUAUUCAUGCUUAUAAAAUGAAUGAGAUGAACGUAUUAAAACCUAAAAUUGAACAACUGACAAUGGAUUUAGGAUUACAAGUUGCUAAAGUCAGAGUUCUAGAGAAAGGUGAGAUUGCUUUAAGACUUUAGCUAGACGAAGAGAAAGUGAAAUGUAAAGGCUAGUAACAUUACUCCCUUUAAGAAGAGUGCUGAGGAGAGAGGAACUCCUUUUGUUUUGAAAGAUUCCCCUAUUAGUCGACUUCUGUAAUUUGUACAUGCCAAGUGAAGAUGCUAAAGCUGUCUUGGUUGAUGAAGCUGGCCAAGAGAGAGACACAACAUAUCUAGCAAAACACCAUGGUCUGAGUGCUCGUUGGAAAAGGUUUGCAAGGGAGCAUGAGCUUGUGAGAGGAGAUAUAUUGGUAUUUCAUAUAAUCACACAUUACAUAUUCAAGGUAUUGUUUUUCUCAUUUAGAUACUUUUGUUCGAGUUGUUUGGGUGCUUGACAGUGGAGCGUCAAGGCACAUGACUGGCAAUAGAUCCCUGCUGACAGAAGUUAGAGAGGCAACUGGACCUACAGUUACUUUUGUUGAUAAUAGCAAGGGUCGUACUGUUGGAUAUGGCAAGUACAAAGUUGGAAGGAUUAUCAUAGAAGAGAUUGCACUAGUUGAAGGACUACAACAUAAUCUCCUUAGUGUCAGCCAUUUUUGUGACAAGGGUUAUUAUAUUCACUUUGAAAAGGAAAUAUGUAUAAUCAAACAUACCAAGGAUAAACGUCCUUCACUAUGUGGCAUCAGGAAAGGCAACAUAUUCGUAGCUGAUUUAUCUACUGGACUAGGAAAUGAAUAUCACUAUUUCUAUGCAAAAGCAUCUGCUGAAGAUAGUCAGUUAUGGCAUAAGAAACUCUCACACCUCAACUUCAAAACUAUAAACUCUCUGGUCAAGAGAGAUUUGGUGAGAGGUUUGCCUUCCCUGGAAUUUACAUCUGAUGAUCUCUGUGAAGCUUGUCAGAAAGGAAAAGCGAAGAGAGCAUCUCACAAAAGCAAGACCAUCAAUAGUAUCACUGAACCAUUGCACCUGUUGCACAUGGAUUUAUUUGGCCCAGUGAAUAUUACGUCAAUUGAUGGAGGAAGAUAUGCUUUGGUCAUUGUGGAUGACUUCUCAAAGUUUACUUGGGUUUACUUCCUAGCUUCCAAGGAUGAAACUCCCCUGACAGUAAUUGAUCAUAUCAAGUUAGUUGAGUUGGAAAAGGGUGUUCCUGUAAAAGCUGUAAGAUCAGAUAAUGGAACUGAGUUCAAGAAUCAAACCUUAAUCAACUUUUACUCUGACAAGGGAAUCAACAGACAGUACUCAGCACCAAGGACUCCACAACAGAAUGGAGUCGUCGAAAGAAAGAAUCGUACACUGAUUGAAGCUGCUAGAACAAUGAUUGCUGAAGCAAAGCUUCCUCUGUACUUUUGGGCUGAAGCUGUGAGUACUGCUUGUUACACCCAGAAUAGAACUUUGAUCAAUAAAGAUCAUAUGAAAACUCCAUUUCAGCAGUAUAAUAACAAGAAACCAGUUUCUACGCCAAAGCGUCUGCUGAAGAUAGUUGGUUAUGGCAUAAGAAGCUCUCACACCUCAACUUCAAAACCAUGAACUCUCUAGUCAAGAGAGAUCUAGUGAGAGGGUUGCCUUCCCUGGAAUUCUCAACUGAUGAUCUUUGUGAAGCUUGUCAGAAAGGAAAAGCGAAGAGAGCAUCUCACAAAGGCAAAACCAUCAAUACCAUUACAGAUCCACUUCAUUUGUUGCAUAUGGAUCUGUUUGGCCCUGUAAAUGUUGCAUCCAUUGAUGGAGGAAGAUAUGCUUUGGUCAUUGUGGAUGACUUCUCAAAAUUUACUUGGGUUUACUUCCUAGCUUCCAAGGAUGAAACUCCCCUGACAGUAGUUGAUCAUAUCAAGAAAGUUGAAUUGGAAAAGGGUGUUCCUGUAAAAGCAAUAAGGUCAGAUAAUGGAACUGAGUUCAAGAAUCAAACCUUAAUCAACUUUUACUCUGACCUUGAUCAAUAAGGAUCAUUUCAUCUGUAUAACAACAAGAAACCUUAUGUCAAACAUCUUCAUGUCUUUGGAGCCAAGUGUUAUGUUCUCAAGGAUGGUGAAGAGAACUUGAACAAGUUUGAGCCAAAGGCAUCUGAAGCAAUUUUUGUUGGUUAUACAAAUAAUGCUUAUAGAGUUUUUGUAAUUGAUACUCUGUCAGUGAAAGUUAGUGUCAAUGUAGCAUUUGAUGACACUAAACUACCAAGUUUACAAUCUGCUGAUCCAUCUGAAUCUCUGAGGUUUGACAACUAUCCAGAUUCUGAUUCAGAUGAUGAUGUGCCACCUGAGGUUGCCACAGGAGAUGACAACAAUGAUAAUGAUCCAGGCAAUGGUGGAGGAAAUGGCAAUAAUGCUGGAGAUUCCACUGAUGCUAGUGGUGGAUCAUCAAGUCAUCCUGGCAACAACUCAGGGGGAGCUGGUGGAUCAACUAGUCAUACACAUCAGCCUAAUGAUAAUACUGCUGAAUCAUCUAGGACACAACUUCCAAGGGAAAGGAUUUGGAGCAGAGAUCAUCCUUUGAUCUGAUUAUUGGUGAUCCUGAUGUUGGUGUAAGGACUAGAAGUGCUACGACAAAUGAAUGUAUGUUCUCUGGUUUUCUAUCACAAUUAGAACCAACGAAAAUAGAUGAAGCACUUGCUGAUCCUGAUUGGGUUCUUGCCAUGCAAUAAGAACUCAAUCAAUUUGAGAGACAAGAAGUCUGGGCCCUGGUUCCAAGGCCAAAAUGAAAAUCUAUAAUUGGAGCUAGAUGGGUCUUCCGUAACAAGUUAGAUGGUG